CUAGGGAGGCAGCAGUGGGGAAUUUUCCGCAAUGGGCGAGAGCCUGACGGAGCAAUACCGCGUGAGGGAGGAAGGCUCUUGGGUUGUAAACCUCUUUUCUCAGGGAAGAACAAAAUGACGGUACCUGAGGAAUAAGCAUCGGCUAACUCCGUGCCAGCAGCCGCGGUAAUACGGAGGAUGCAAGCGUUAUCCGGAAUUAUUGGGCGUAAAGCGUCCGCAGGUGGCAGUUCAAGUCUGCUGUCAAAGGUCAGGGCUCAACCCUGAACAGGCAGUGGAAACUGAACAGCUAGAGUGCGGUAGGGGCAGAGGGAAUUCCCAGUGUAGCGGUGAAAUGCGUAGAGAUUGGGAAGAACACCGGUGGCGAAAGCGCUCUGCUAGGCCUGCACUGACACUCAGGGACGAAAGCUAGGGGAGCGAAUGGGAUUAGAUACCCCAGUAGUCCUAGCCGUAAACGAUGGAUACUAGGCGUAGCUUGUAUCGACCCAAGCUGUGCCGUAGCUAACGCGUUAAGUAUCCCGCCUGGGGAGUACGCGCGCAAGCGUGAAACUCAAAUGAAUUGACGG
This 563-nucleotide ribosomal RNA is filed under the name uncultured cyanobacterium. Its description in RNAcentral is "bacterial SSU rRNA". It matches the Rfam family "Bacterial small subunit ribosomal RNA", at positions 339 to 916 of the family's 1533-position model. Lineage: Bacteria; Bacillati; Cyanobacteriota. The record is from RNAcentral.